This 62-nucleotide microRNA precursor is filed under the name Saccoglossus kowalevskii. Its description in RNAcentral is "Sko-Mir-4825_pre stem-loop". Lineage: Eukaryota; Metazoa; Hemichordata; Enteropneusta; Harrimaniidae. The record is from RNAcentral.
GGGGACAGGGAUGGGUGUGGGGGUUAUAACAGUCGCACCUCACACCUUAACCUGUCAACUAU